This 464-nucleotide ribosomal RNA is filed under the name uncultured bacterium. Its description in RNAcentral is "bacterial SSU rRNA". It matches the Rfam family "Bacterial small subunit ribosomal RNA", at positions 338 to 795 of the family's 1533-position model. The record is from RNAcentral.
CCUACGGGACGCAGCAGUGGGGAAUAUUGCACAAUGGGCGCAAGCCUGAUGCAGCCAUGCCGCGUGUGUGAAGAAGGCCUUCGGGUUGUAAAGCACUUUCAGCGGGGAGGAAGGCGGUGAGGUUAAUAACCUCACCGAUUGACGUUACCCGCAGAAGAAGCACCGGCUAACUCCGUGCCAGCAGCCGCGGUAAUACGGAGGGUGCAAGCGUUAAUCGGAAUUACUGGGCGUAAAGCGCACGCAGGCGGUCUGUCAAGUCGGAUGUGAAAUCCCCGGGCUCAACCCGGGGACUGCAUUCGAAACUGGCAGGCUAGAGUCUUGUAGAGGGGGGUAGAAUUCCAGGUGUAGCGGUGAAAUGCGUAGAGACCUGGAGGAAUACCGGUGGCGAAGGCGGCCCCCUGGACAAAGACUGACGCUCAGGUGCGAAAGCGUGGGGAGCAAACAGGAUAGAUACCCGGGUAGUC